AUUGAACGCUGGCGGCAUGCUUUACACAUGCAAGUCGAACGGCAGCGCGGGGCCACCUGGCGGCGAGUGGCGUACGGGUGAGUAAUAUAUCGGAACGUACCCAGAAGUGGGGGGUAACGUAUCGAAAGUUACGCUAAUACCUCAUACGAUCUACGUAUGAACGUAUGGGACCGCAAGCCCUUAUGCUUUUGGAUCGGCCGAUAUCUGAUUAGCUAGUUGGUGAGGUAAAGGCUCACCAAGGCGACGAUCAGUAGCUGGUCUGAGAGGACGACCAGCCACACGGGAACUGAGAAUCGGUACAGACUCCUACGGGAGGCAGCAGUGGGGAAUCUUGGACGAUGGGGGAAAGGCUGAUCCAGCAAUGCCGCGUGAGUGAAGAAGGACUUCGGGUUGUAAAGCUCUUUUGUCAGGGAAGAAACGGUGGAGGCUAAUAUCCGAUGAUAAUGACGGUACCUGAAGAAUAAGCACCGGCUAACUACGUG
RNAcentral lists this ribosomal RNA (482 nucleotides) under uncultured bacterium. Its description in RNAcentral is "partial 16S ribosomal RNA". It matches the Rfam family "Bacterial small subunit ribosomal RNA", at positions 30 to 507 of the family's 1533-position model. The record is from RNAcentral.